Molecule: ribosomal RNA, 492 nt
Filed under: uncultured bacterium
Lineage: Bacteria
Description: partial 16S ribosomal RNA
Rfam family: Bacterial small subunit ribosomal RNA
Source: RNAcentral
AGUGAACGCUGGCGGUAGGCCUAACACAUGCAAGUCGAACGGCAGCACAGUAAGAGCUUGCUCUUACGGGUGGCGAGUGGCGGACGGGUGAGGAAUACAUCGGAAUCUACUUUUUCGUGGGGGAUAACGUAGGGAAACUUACGCUAAUACCGCAUACGACCUACGGGUGAAAGCAGGGGAUCUUCGGACCUUGCGCGAUUGAAUGAGCCGAUGUCGGAUUAGCUAGUUGGCGGGGUAAAGGCCCACCAAGGCGACGAUCCGUAGCUGGUCUGAGAGGAUGAUCAGCCACACUGGAACUGAGACACGGUCCAGACUCCUACGGGAGGCAGCAGUGGGGAAUAUUGGACAAUGGGCGCAAGCCUGAUCCAGCCAUACCGCGUGGGUGAAGAAGGCCUUCGGGUUGUAAAGCCCUUUUGUUGGGAAAGAAAAGCAGCAGGUUAAUACCCCGCUGUUCUGACGGUACCCAAAGAAUAAGGACCGGCUAACUUCGUG